This 253-nucleotide ribosomal RNA is filed under the name uncultured bacterium. RNAcentral's name for it is "partial 16S ribosomal RNA". It matches the Rfam family "Bacterial small subunit ribosomal RNA", at positions 524 to 776 of the family's 1533-position model. The record is from RNAcentral.
UACGGUGGGAGCAAGCGUUGUUCGGAUUUACUGGGCGUAAAGGGCGCGUAGGCGGUAGCACAAGUCAGUUGUGAAAUCUCCGGGCUUAACUCGGAAAGGUCAACUGAUACUGUGCGACUAGAGUGCAGAAGGGGCAACUGGAAUUCUCGGUGUAGCGGUGAAAUGCGUAGAUAUCGAGAGGAACACCUGCGGCGAAGGCGGGUUGCUGGGCUGACACUGACGCUGAUGCGCGAAAGCCAGGGGAGCGAACGGG